ACUCCUACGGGAGGCAGCAGUGGGGAAUAUUGCGCAAUGGGCGAAAGCCUGACGCAGCAACGCCGCGUGAGGGACGAAGGCCUUCGGGUUGUAAACCUCUUUCAGCAGGGAAGAAGCGAAAGUGACGGUACCUGCAGAAGAAGCACCGGCUAACUACGUGCCAGCAGCCGCGGUAAUACGUAGGGUGCAAGCGUUGUCCGGAAUUAUUGGGCGUAAAGAGCUCGUAGGUGGUUUGUCGCGUCUGCUGUGAAAAUUCGGGGCUCAACCCCGGACUUGCAGUGGGUACGGGCAGACUAGAGUGUGGUAGAGGAGACUGGAAUUCCUGGUGUAGCGGUGGAAUGCGCAGAUAUCAGGAGGAACACCAGUGGCGAAGGCGGGUCUCUGGGCCACAACUGACACUGAGGAGCGAAAGCGUGGGGAGCGAACAGGAUUAGAUACCCUGGUAGUCCACGCCGUAAACGUUGGGCGCUAGGUGUGGGG
RNAcentral lists this ribosomal RNA (480 nucleotides) under uncultured bacterium. Its description in RNAcentral is "bacterial SSU rRNA". It matches the Rfam family "Bacterial small subunit ribosomal RNA", at positions 335 to 827 of the family's 1533-position model. The record is from RNAcentral.